GCGUUAAUCGGUAUUACUGGGCGUAAAGCGCACGCCGGCGGUUUGUUAAGUAAGAUGUGAAAUCCCCGGGCUCAACCUGGGAACUGCAUUUGAAACUGGCAAGCUAGAGUCUCGUAGAGGGGGGUAGAAGUCCAGGUGUAGCGGUGAAAUGCGUAGAGAUCUGGAGGAAUACCGGUGGCGAAGGCGGCCCCCUGGACGAAGACUGACGCUCAGGUGCGAAAGCGUG
Molecule: ribosomal RNA, 226 nt
Filed under: uncultured bacterium
Lineage: Bacteria
Description: partial 16S ribosomal RNA
Rfam family: Bacterial small subunit ribosomal RNA
Source: RNAcentral